Molecule: ribosomal RNA, 345 nt
Filed under: Salmonella enterica subsp. enterica serovar Singapore
Lineage: Bacteria; Pseudomonadati; Pseudomonadota; Gammaproteobacteria; Enterobacterales; Enterobacteriaceae
Description: bacterial SSU rRNA
Rfam family: Bacterial small subunit ribosomal RNA
Source: RNAcentral
UUAGGUCGGGAACUCAAAGGAGACUGCCAGUGAUAAACUGGAGGAAGGUGGGGAUGACGUCAAGUCAUCAUGGCCCUUACGACCAGGGCUACACACGUGCUACAAUGGCGCAUACAAAGAGAAGCGACCUCGCGAGAGCAAGCGGACCUCAUAAAGUGCGUCGUAGUCCGGAUUGGAGUCUGCAACUCGACUCCAUGAAGUCGGAAUCGCUAGUAAUCGUGGAUCAGAAUGCCACGGUGAAUACGUUCCCGGGCCUUGUACACACCGCCCGUCACACCAUGGGAGUGGGUUGCAAAAGAAGUAGGUAGCUUAACCUUCGGGAGGGCGCUUACCACUUUGUGAUUC